Raphanus sativus (radish) is the source of this 687-nucleotide long non-coding RNA. RefSeq lists it as uncharacterized. The record is from RefSeq and is a predicted model, not a curated record. Lineage: Eukaryota; Viridiplantae; Streptophyta; Magnoliopsida; Brassicales; Brassicaceae. The transcript has 3 exons.
CUGCGUCUCUCUGUCCGCGUCUCUCUCUUCGCAUCUCUCUCGCCAUGAAAUCGCCAUGAAAGCUUGAGAUCUCUCUCUCCGCCUCUCUCUCUCCGUGUCUCUCUCUCUCCGCGUCUCUCUCUCCGCCCCUCUCUCUCUCAGCUUCCAGGGGAUGUGCCUUGCAGUGUGCCAUUCUCAGACCCACCUUCAAAGUCCGUGAGUUCCAGGUUCAUGAGAGUUUCCCUUUCUCCAUUUCGCUGGCGUGGAAAGGAGCAGCUGUUGAUGCUCAAAAUGAAGGAGCUGAGAACCAGCAGAGCACCAUUGUUUUCCCCAAAGGAAACUCAAUUCCUAGUGCCAAGGCUCUAACGUUUUACCGCUCUGGAACAUUCUCUGUCGAUGUGCAGUACAUUGAUGUGACUGACUUGCAAGCACCUCCAAAAAUCAGCACAUACACGGUUUGAUCUUUGCCCAAUGUCGUGUGUAUCCUUAAGACUGUAGCGUGCCUUUUUUCAGCUGAUGGAUCUUAUUAUCAGUCACGAGUUUGUUUGCUGAGUCUGAGAUCAUUUUGUGUUGAGUCAAGUCUCAUAUGUGGGUUUUAGUUUUGAGAAAUGGUGAAUGAUGAUGUAUGAUUCAGUAAUUGUUAAACCUAUGUUGUGUUUGUGUUGUUGUUGCAGGAAAUGUAACGAUGUAUAAAGCUAUAUUUUGUGG